AGUGAACGCUGGCGGUAGGCCUAACACAUGCAAGUCGAACGGCAGCACAGUAAGAGCUUGCUCUUACGGGUGGCGAGUGGCGGACGGGUGAGGAAUACAUCGGAAUCUACUUUUUCGUGGGGGAUAACGUAGGGAAACUUACGCUAAUACCGCAUACGACCUACGGGUGAAAGCAGGGGAUCUUCGGACCUUGCGCGAUUGAAUGAGCCGAUGUCGGAUUAGCUAGUUGGCGGGGUAAAGGCCCACCAAGGCGACGAUCCGUAGCUGGUCUGAGAGGAUGAUCAGCCACACUGGAACUGAGACACGGUCCAGACUCCUACGGGAGGCAGCAGUGGGGAAUAUUGGACAAAGGGCGCAAGCCUGAUCCAGCCAUACCGCGUGGGUGAAGAAGGCCUUCGGGCUGUAAAGCCAUUUUGUUGGGAAAGAAAAGCAGCAGGUUAAUACCCCGCUGUUCUGACGGUACCCAAAGAAUAAGCACCGGCUAACUUCGUG
Molecule: ribosomal RNA, 492 nt
Filed under: uncultured bacterium
Lineage: Bacteria
Description: partial 16S ribosomal RNA
Rfam family: Bacterial small subunit ribosomal RNA
Source: RNAcentral